GACAGAGGAGCCAAGCGUUGUCCGGAUUGACUGGGCGUAAAGCGCACGCAGGCGGCCGUGCACGUGGGGUGUGAAAGCGCUCGGCUUAACUGAGCGAUGCCACCUCAUACGGCAGGGCUCGAGCCCGUGAGAGGUCCACGGAAUUGCCGGUGUAGUGGUGAAAUGCGUAGAGAUCGGCAGGAACACCCAGGGGGAAACCAGUGGACUGGCACGGUGCUGACGCUCAGGUGCGAAAGCGUGGGGAGCGAACGGG
This 253-nucleotide ribosomal RNA is filed under the name uncultured bacterium. RNAcentral describes it as "partial 16S ribosomal RNA". It matches the Rfam family "Bacterial small subunit ribosomal RNA", at positions 524 to 776 of the family's 1533-position model. The record is from RNAcentral.